AGCCACCAUCCACACAUCAAAGGAAAUACGCCAAGCUCAAUGACCAGUAGGAAGGCAACCUUAAUCAUAGUCAUCAAAUGCCUCAUUGCUGCCAAGAACUGCCUGAAAAGUGAUGGAAUUGUUUCUGCGAUAGAGGCAAUACCAUAAAAUCUCCCCAUAGUAAAAGGCUCACCCUUUGUAUAUCUAAUCAACGCAACAAUACCAAGGUAGAAGAAGACUAGAGAGAAUAUAAACAUGUAUCCAAUAGC
RNAcentral lists this unclassified non-coding RNA (248 nucleotides) under Hevea brasiliensis (rubber tree). The record is from RNAcentral. Lineage: Eukaryota; Viridiplantae; Streptophyta; Magnoliopsida; Malpighiales; Euphorbiaceae.